Molecule: ribosomal RNA, 1099 nt
Filed under: Coniochaetaceae sp. AS33-1
Lineage: Eukaryota; Fungi; Ascomycota; Sordariomycetes; Coniochaetales; Coniochaetaceae
Description: eukaryotic LSU rRNA
Rfam family: Eukaryotic large subunit ribosomal RNA (bases 515-1099)
Source: RNAcentral
UUGGUGACCAGCGGAGGGAUCAUUACAAGAAGCCGAAAGGCUACUUCAAACCAUCGCGAACUCGUCCAAGUUGCUUCGGCGGCGCGGCACCCCUUAACGGGGGCGCCGCAGCCCUGCCUCUCCGGAGGUUCGGGGCGCCCGCCGGAGGUACGAAACUCUGUAUUAUAGUGGCAUCUCUGAGUAUAAAACAAAUAAGUUAAAACUUUCAACAACGGAUCUCUUGGUUCUGGCAUCGAUGAAGAACGCAGCGAAAUGCGAUAAGUAAUGUGAAUUGCAGAAUUCAGUGAAUCAUCGAAUCUUUGAACGCACAUUGCGCCCGGUAGUACUCUACCGGGCAUGCCUGUUCGAGCGUCAUUUCAACCCUCAAGCCCUGCUUGGUGUUGGGGCCCUACGGCUGCCGUAGGCCCUGAAAGGAAGUGGCGGGCUCGCUACAACUCCGAGCGUAGUAAUUCAUUAUCUCGCUAGGGAGGUUGCGGCGUGCUCCUGCCGUUAAAGACCCAUCUUUAACCAAGGUUGACCUCGGAUCAGGUAGGAAUACCCGCUGAACUUAAGCAUAUCAAUAAGCGGAGGAAAAGAAACCAACAGGGAUUGCCCUAGUAACGGCGAGUGAAGCGGCAACAGCUCAAAUUUGAAAUCUGGCUUCGGCCCGAGUUGUAAUUUGUAGAGGAUGCUUUUGGUGAGGUGCCUUCUGAGUUCCCUGGAACGGGACGCCAGAGAGGGUGAGAGCCCCGUACAGUCGGCCACCGAUCCUUUGUAAAGCUCCUUCGACGAGUCGAGUAGUUUGGGAAUGCUGCUCAAAAUGGGAGGUAUAUCUCUUCUAAAGCUAAAUAUAGGCCAGAGACCGAUAGCGCACAAGUAGAGUGAUCGAAAGAUGAAAAGCACUUUGAAAAGAGGGUUAAAUAGCACGUGAAAUUGUUGAAAGGGAAGCGCUUGUGACCAGACUUGUGCCGGGCUGAUCAUCCAGUGUUCUCACUGGUGCACUCGACCCGGCUCAGGCCAGCGUCGGUUUUCGUGGGGGGAUAAAAGCUUCGGGAACGUGGCACCUUCGGGUGUGUUAUAGCCCGUUGCUUAAUACCUCCGUGGAGACCGAGGUUCGCGC